Uloborus diversus is the source of this 319-nucleotide long non-coding RNA. RefSeq lists it as uncharacterized. The transcript is spliced from 4 exons. Lineage: Eukaryota; Metazoa; Arthropoda; Arachnida; Araneae; Uloboridae. The record is from RefSeq and is a predicted model, not a curated record.
GAGAUAUGAGCUCGAGCAUUGAAGUUAUGUUGGAAUCAAUUUAUGCUUUGGACGACUCAGGAUCAUUCGCACAAGCAAGGUUCAUUCCAGAUCCUAUGAGAUGCAACAUCAAAGUACCUUCUUCGCAUUCUAGAAAUCAUAUUUCUGUACCAGUAAUUCAACCUUCAAAUUUAAGCAUCCAAAAUCACAGGUUGAUGCAGAAAUCAAGCUAAAAUGACAUCCUUGGCAUCAUUCAACAAACUUAACUACAUUUGAUUCCCAUUACAACGCUAUGGACAUUCUAUUCAUUUCAGAAAUAAAUUUAAAAGAAGCUGUAGAG